This 888-nucleotide ribosomal RNA is filed under the name Chitinophagaceae bacterium enrichment culture clone CTBE CDB1001B04. RNAcentral's name for it is "bacterial SSU rRNA". It matches the Rfam family "Bacterial small subunit ribosomal RNA", at positions 46 to 932 of the family's 1533-position model. Lineage: Bacteria; Pseudomonadati; Bacteroidota; Chitinophagia; Chitinophagales; Chitinophagaceae. The record is from RNAcentral.
GCUUACACUGCAAGUCGAGGGGCAGCGCGGUAGCAUACUGGCGGCGACCGGCAAACGGGUGCGGAACACGUACUGAACUUACCCUGAUCUGGGGCAUAGCCCGAAGAAAUUCGGAUUAACUCCCCAUAAUAUAGAUGAGUGGCAUCACUUGGCUAUUAAAAAUUUAUUGGAUCAGGAUGGCAGUGCGUCCCAUUAGCUAGUUGGUAGGGUAACGGCCUACCAAGGCGACGAUGGGUAGCUGGUGUGAGAGCACGACCAGCCACACGGGCACUGAGACACGGGCCCGACUCCUACGGGAGGCAGCAGUGAGGAAUAUUGGUCAAUGGACGCAAGUCUGAACCAGCCAUGCCGCGUGAAGGAUGAAGGCGUUCUGCGUUGUAAACUUCUUUUACCUGGGAAGAAACCUCCGAUUUCUAUUGGAGUUGACGGUACCAGAGGAAUAAGCACCGGCUAACUCCGUGCCAGCAGCCGCGGUAAUACGGAGGGUGCAAGCGUUAUCCGGAUUUACUGGGUUUAAAGGGUGUGUAGGCGGGUCUUUAAGUCAGUGGUGAAAUCUCCGAGCUCAACUUGGAAACUGCCAUUGAUACUAUUGAUCUUGAAUUCUGUUGAGGUAAGCGGAAUAAGUCAUGUACCGGUGAAUUGCAUAAAUAUGACUUAGAACACCAAUUGCGAAAGGAGCUUUACUAACCAGAUAUUGACGCUGAAGGACAAANCCGUGGGGAUCAAACAGGAUUAAAAACCCUGGGUAAUCCCGCCCCUAAACAAUGAUUACUCCCAAUUACGCGAUAAAAAGGGGGUGUCUGAACGAAAGCAUUAAAGUAAUCCCCCGGGGAAAUAUAACCGCCAGGUUGAACCUCCAAGGAAAUUGAGGGGGGUCCGCACAAACCG